This 125-nucleotide non-coding RNA is filed under the name Candidatus Peregrinibacteriota. Its description in RNAcentral is "Candidatus Peregrinibacteria SAM-I sequence". It matches the Rfam family "SAM riboswitch aptamer (S box leader)". From Rfam's summary of the family: The SAM riboswitch is found upstream of a number of genes which code for proteins involved in methionine or cysteine biosynthesis in Gram-positive bacteria. The SAM riboswitch acts at the level of transcription termination control. The record is from RNAcentral.
AAAUCAUCAAGAGUGGUGGAGGGAAUCGGCCCUAUGAAACCACAGCAACCGCUUAAGGUCAGCCUAGAUCUAAGGAAGGUGCUAAAUCCGACCGCUUCAAUUUUAACAGGAGCGGAAGAUGUCCA